CGGGAAUUUUGCGCAAUGGACGGAAGUCUGACGCAGCAACGCCGCGUGAAGGAUGACGGCCUUCGGGUUGUAAACUUCUGUUGGAUGGGAAAAAAAGCCUAGGAAUAGGAAUUGAUGGUACCAUUCGAGUAAGCACCGGCUAACUACGUGCCAGCAGCCGCGGUAAUACGUAGGGUGCGAGCGUUGUUCGGAAUCACUGGGCGUAAAGGGAGCGUAGGCGGGAUCGUAAGUUAGGAGUUUAAUACAUGGGCUCAACCCGUGAUAUGCUUUUAAUACUGCGGUUCUUGAGUAUGGGAGAGGGUGAUGGAAUUCCAGGUGUAGCGGUGGAAUGCGUAGAUAUCUGGAAGAACACCAGUAGCGAAGGCGGUCACCUGGCCCAAUACUGACGCUGAGGCUCGAAAGCUGGGGGAGCAAAC
RNAcentral lists this ribosomal RNA (416 nucleotides) under uncultured bacterium. Its description in RNAcentral is "bacterial SSU rRNA". It matches the Rfam family "Bacterial small subunit ribosomal RNA", at positions 356 to 773 of the family's 1533-position model. The record is from RNAcentral.